This is a long non-coding RNA of Corvus hawaiiensis (hawaiian crow), 5519 nucleotides long. RefSeq lists it as uncharacterized. Lineage: Eukaryota; Metazoa; Chordata; Aves; Passeriformes; Corvidae. The transcript has 4 exons. The record is from RefSeq and is a predicted model, not a curated record.
GUAAUGCAAAUAUUUUAAUGUAGAAUUUUAAAGUUUUUGAGAAACAAAGCAAGUAGCAAAUAUUUUAAGGAUAAGUUUUGUCCAAAUUUCAAAUAACUGCUAUGUAUAUAUAAAUCUCGUGCUGAUGCACGAGGCUCUCUGUGCUUGGUCAGCAUCAUCUAAGCUCUAACAUGGUUGACUGCUAUGAGAUCCAUUGCAGACUUGAAGAAAAAAUCCACCCAGAGCUGGUCAUCUGCUUUACAAAGAUUCUCAAACAUUCUGAAAGAUCACGGCCACAUCUAAAUUCACUGAGCAGAAUGGUCUCCAGCCUCUGCUAACUUCUGCCUGUGUCCAAGUUCAGUGUGAAAGAAUUGGAAGAGAAGAACCAAGACCAUGAGAGGAUUAAACCAGAAGUCAGUGUGGUGACUUUGAGUAUCUCUGACUGCAGAAAGAAGUUAGACUGGACUGACAUGCCAUCCUACAUUAUAUCUAUUUAAGCUGGAAGUGUAUGAGAUGAAGUUAAUGGAUUCUGUAACAAACCUAACAGGCAAAAUAUUCUCAUUUCACCAGCCUAUUACGCAUUAUAACAGGGCCUACGAAGAUCUGAAAUUUGAUUUUCAUUCUGCAAAUCAUAGGAUCACAAUAAAAUUGCUCCAGAAAGAGACCUCCAAAACUCAUCUGGUCUGACCUCCUGCUUAAGGCAUGUUUAAUUUCAAGGUUGAAUCAGUUCCUUCAUGGCACAUACUCCAGACCCCCUUACCACCUAAGCUCUUCAUCAGACUUUCUUCAGAUUUUCAGAGCUUGCCUUGUACAAGGUGGCCCAAAAUGGUGUCUGAUUCUUCAGAUAGAGAUUUGCAAGUGCUGCGUAAAUGUAAGAAAUCACCCUCAUUGAUUUUCUGGUCACAUUCUUUUUGAUGAAACACAGUAUGCUGUCUAGGAGCUGAAGAUACCCUCUCUGACCGUCACGGAAUGCCCCUUUGGCCAGUUUUCAACCAUUUAUGUUGUUUCUCACUACAGAAAUUAAGCAAUUACCCACUGAAGCUUCUCAUUAGAGCUGGCAUAUGUAAGAAGUCUCUAAUGAAACAGGCUUAAAUUCAAACAACUGCAAUGUAAAUAUAUAGAAAUGCAAGUUAUAAUGACAAAGAUCUUGCCCGAAUGACAGCCUGCUGCUUUUUGACCGAUCCUUUUCAAAUGAGACAAUUGCUGUAGUGAUGACUGAUUUUAUCUCAUUUUCUGUCUGCACCAGGGACUACCUCCAUAGGAUAGAACUAUCAUUUUCUCUCAUUUCCCUCUUGCUGUGGUAUAAAAAAGCUCAUUAGUUGGUAGCCUAAAAGUCUUUAUUUUCUUAAGAUAAUAUUUCAUUUAUCUCAGAAUAUGACUGCUAUCAUUUAUACUGCAAGCAAAAAAAAGGAUACAAAACUAAGAAGUGCAAUAUUUAAUAUUCUCUUUGCAAUAUAUUUUUUUUGUUUUGUUCUGUAGUCUCUUAGGCACUAGAAACACUCCUGUAGUUACCUUUUAAAAUGAGCAAUGAUCAUACCUUCUCAGUAUGGUCCUCAAAAACAUAUAAUUUUAUCAUUGCAGUUUAGAGAACCAUUCAGAAAAAGAAUCCAGUAAAGACUUUUGGAAAAGUGAAAAGCCCAUUAAAAACCCCCAAGUUUUAUAACUGGGAGUUGAUCACACAAUACAAAGUUUCUCUUAUCAGUUCAGCAUGCACUUUCCUGUGUCUCUCACUAACAGGUUCAUCUUCACAUUUUAUUUUGUCAUUUUCUCUUUGAGCUUUUUCCUUGGCAGUUUUCCACUUAUUUUAUCUUGUGGUAGCUCCUUAAAUUUCUGUACCUACAUCUGCCCUGAAGACUAAUCAAUUUAAAAAGAACAGCCAAAGAGAGGAAAGAAUAGCUCCGUCCUUUAAAAACUUUUGAAUUUAAAAAAAUUUUGGAUGGUAUCUGGACUUAUUGGUGGUAGUUCUAAGCAGAUUUUUAAUCAGUCAGCAUUGAUUUAGACAGUUGAGGUGGUCAAUAUUGCCUCGUUAAGUCCUCAUGCAAUGUUAAGGAAAAUAGAUCCUUUACGCUUUCCAGCACACAUUCACCUUAGCCUAUAUGCUAUAAUGUUGCCAUUUUGAAAAGAGGUAUAACAAAGUAAAAUUUAAUAUAUUUGUUUUGUGUCUGUGCCUCUAACCACAGUAGGAAAAAUGUAAACAAAGCAAUUGACUGAAUCUGUCCUGAAAAAUUACUAGAAAUGCAAAUAUAAUGGCUUUUAAAGGGUUAUUCCUUUGUAGUUCAAUUGAUAUUGUGCAAUUUUACAUUUGAGAUUUGUAAUUCAAAGUUAGAGGUAAAAUCCUGUGGCACUGAAGUGGAUGAGAACAGAAUGUUAAAUAUAGACAUUUUCUGCAUUAAUGUCAUGCAGCUCCAUUUUCUGUUCCAUUAACUUUCAUACUUUUGCAUGUUGGUUCACAUGUAGAUUUCUAACUAACUGACAAGCAGAAUUUUAAGCCUUGUAUAAUGUUUCUAUAAAAAUACAUGGUGCUCAACUCAAUUACCCCUUCUGGCAUCUCCAAACCAAGGAUGAAGAGAACAAGCUACACUAAAUGGGCAUUAUCAUGCCUGAGUGCUCAGGUGUCUCCUUGUCUAGACUAGCCAGUCUGAAGUACACACUUUAUAGCCAUAAUGCCUUGAGAAAUAUUGGAAGUAUAUGUGUAAGGUGGGUAAAGGACAGCAUCAAAAUUGUUCUAUGACAUUACAGAAAUAAUUUUUGAACACAAUUUACUACACAGGUGCUUGGGAUCAUACACCUGAAGAACUCUUGGAGGUUUAGUGAGUAAGGGCACAGUCUGCUAAAGGUAGAGGUGCUGAAGGAACACCUCCUAGAAUAUUUCUGUGUAUCGUUUUUGUGAAGGAUCUGUGUAUUAAUUAAAGCCAUAAGGCUAAAAUCACUAAGGAGCAUAUCCAUCUAGUUAUUAUUUAGGAAGACUGAGACAAACAUAGAAGUGGUAAUAAAAACUCUCAAAGGAAGCCUCAGUCAUAUCUUCUGUGUCAGUUCUACUAGAUUUUAGUUGUCUAAGGUUUUCCUGAAAGCAGUGUUAUCCUUCUUCCAAUACUGAUUCAUUCCACUUUGGUUUGUCUCCUUCUCUUUGCUGAUCAUUCUACGGAUCCAGGCAUUAUCUUCACAUAAGAACCUAUUAAUCAGACACUUAACAUGCAUUAAAGAAGUACCCACUCUGAAAAUUUUAGAUGUAAUAUACUUAUUAGACAUUAAAGCUCAUACAUAAAUGGUCUAACCACCACUAUGAUAGGUCUUUGAUGGGUUUCUCCUAGUCUCUUGUGAUGGAAUUCUGUCACUUCAUAUGGAUUCUUUCACUAUAAAGAGAAUGUGAACAAGUGAUCAGUUAUUUAGUCAUAUGAUAAUCCUCAUCUUAGAGAUGCCACAAUGGGAUAUUCAUCAGCUUACAUGUGGCCUUUUCAGUCUGAAAUAUGCUGCCAGAUCACAUUUCUGCUAUUGUCUUCCCCAAUUGCCUGUCUUUGGGAGCUGGGCAGCUUUAUAAUCCUCAAGCAUCAGUGCAUUUUCUUGAGAAGCAGUAGCCUUUUGGGCUUGUUUCUUUCCACCCUUUGAUCAGCAACGUCAUACUCCAUUUUUACCACAAAGAACUGUGAUUACAUAGAAGUUCUAGCUCUCUUUUUCAUCAUUUCUUAUUCCCCCUUAAACUAAAUGCAAGGGUAGUUCAUCAAAAGAAUUGAAGUUUUAAUCUCAAUAGAUGCAUUUCUGUUUCACUGUCAUGAUGCUUCAAAGUGUAUUCAUAUUUUGAAUAUAUUCAUUCUUCCCUCUGCUGAAAACCUACAGUAUAUGUGAUUUCUUAUAUAACUUGGAAUUUUUUUCCACAUUUGAAACACAGAGGAUUGGGUACCUAAUAAUGUUACUGUACUAUAGUAGUACAUAAAAUAUUAUAUGAGUAACUUUUUCUUAGUCUUCAGUGAUAUAUUCAAGCACUUCUUAAUUUUUUAGAAUUGUUAUUCAUAUGUCAUUUUUGUUCAGUUGCUGUUUCAAUUUCUAUCUGGUUCUUUUUGACUAAUCUGCAGGAUUAAAAUCCAAUAUUUAAUUAAUUGGACUAUGAAAUAGUACUUAUUUUUUAUUUUCCCAAAAUUUUCACAUGGGUCUAUAUAGUUACUGAUACUCCCUAAUUCUAGAUCAGCAGAACAAGUAUGAUUUUAGCAUGCUUGAGUUGUUCAGGUUACUGUGUAUCCUCAGAUGUAUUCUCAGCACACAUAGUUCAAAGACGUUAUUGUUUAUACAUCAGUUUGGUUUGAUUUCUGAAUGGUAACAUUGGUAAAUUUUUCACACAAGUAACUUUAUGAUGAAUAAUAUACAUGUGUUGUUUGUGUUGGUUUAUGUUUCAGUUGAUAUGACACUUUUUUUUUGCAACUUUUGCUUAUUUAAAUAGCAAAUUCCACACCUAAACUUACAGUUGAAGUAAAAGAAACUGAACUUUUCUAGAAAAAAUAUUUACUUUUUUCACUAUAUGUUUAGAUGGAAGCUGAGCCCUAGUUGGCUGCUCUAUAAUCAGGUAAUUACGCAUAUGAAUUUUGUUAGAAAUAUACCAAUAUGUGCAACUAUGAGACAUAGUUUGCCAUGGGAAAAAAAAAAAAAAAACAAACAUAAACUAACUGACAGAGAACUUCCCACGACAACAUGAAAUGCAUCUACUUGGUUAUUUAUGUUGUCCAAAUUCUUUUCCUUUUGGCAUACUCCUAACAGACAUUUAUAACAGCAGAAGUUGUAGCAGUGGUCCUGUGAAAAGAGAAAAUAAUAUUAAAUAAAUAUGCACAGCAAAAGAAAUUUGGAAGACCAUGAUAAAUUGAAGAUACCUGCAACUUUUUUAGAGUUACGGAAUGCAGAAAAGGAAGCCAAGUAAGAGUAUAGAAGACAAAGACAAAGGACAGUUGAGAACAUGAGAAGCCUUAAAAAAAUUGAGAUAUUAAGAAAACAUCUGUGAGGAAACAGGAUGGAAAAGAACAGGAUGCAGUCAGGAGCUGCAACAGGCAAAGGGUGAUGAAGUAAAUGUUCUUAAAGAACCACAGGAAGAAAGUAAAAUACAGUACCCAUGUCUGGGGACAUCACGAGCUAGGAUAUCCACGAGUAAUGGAAAUCAAGAAUAUUUUCUCAGUGAAAAUAAAAAUAUUAAAUUACUAAGGAUUGGUAAGGAUAAAUACUGUAUACAUUUCUGGAAAAGAGCUAUAUAUUUUUUUUUCCUUGAUGAUUGCUUAUGUUUGAAAUGGGGCAUUUGUUGGUUAAGAUCAGUAUCUGCUUUUGAGCAUCAUGAAAAAGGAAUUUAAUGUAGUUUUCUCCUGUUUAUGAAAAGAGUAAGUACAUGGAGAGGAACUGAAAUUUUAUUUACUCUGCAAAGAAUUUUACUGUGUAAAGAUUUCACUAUAAAAUUAGUGUCAAAGAAGCUUUUAAUUCUUGAACAGUAAAUAAUUAAAAGUCAGAAUAUAAUUUAACCAAUUAAGACAGAAAGAGAAAAUAAAGUGUUACUGACAUUUCUCCUGGGA